AAGACUAUACUUUCAGAGAUCAUUUCUAAAGUUGCUACCUUGAAAAAUGUGUUUCUAAAGUGUUUGGUCUCGCUCACCACGAUGAUGAGUCAUGAUGUUCUUUUCUGAGCGUGAAGCUGACAGAGAAUAAUGGUUUGCUUCAUGUCCUCUCUGUCGUUGGUGACCGUUUUUUACUUCUUAGAGAAUAUGAUCGGAGUGGU
This 200-nucleotide small nucleolar RNA is filed under the name Sander lucioperca (pikeperch). RNAcentral describes it as "Small nucleolar RNA U3 (ENSSLUG00000005018.1)". It matches the Rfam family "Small nucleolar RNA U3". Rfam says of the family: Small nucleolar RNAs (snoRNAs) are involved in the processing and modification of rRNA in the nucleolus. There are two main classes of snoRNAs: the box C/D class, and the box H/ACA class. U3 snoRNA is a member of the box C/D class. Lineage: Eukaryota; Metazoa; Chordata; Actinopteri; Perciformes; Percidae. The record is from Rfam by way of RNAcentral.